GACGUAGGGCGCGAGCGUUGUCCGGAUUUAUUGGGCGUAAAGAGCUCGUAGGCGGCUUGUCGCGUCGACUGUGAAAUCCCGCGGCUCAACUGCGGGUCUGCAGUCGAUACGGGCAGGCUAGAGUUCGGUAGGGGAGACUGGAAUUCCUGGUGUAGCGGUGAAAUGCGCAGAUAUCAGGAGGAACACCAGUGGCGAAGGCGGCUACCUGGACCGGUUCUGACGCUGAGGCGCGAAAGCGUGGGUAGCAAACAGG
This 253-nucleotide ribosomal RNA is filed under the name uncultured bacterium. RNAcentral describes it as "partial 16S ribosomal RNA". It matches the Rfam family "Bacterial small subunit ribosomal RNA", at positions 524 to 776 of the family's 1533-position model. The record is from RNAcentral.